ACGAGAAGCUUGCUUCUCUGAUGUUAGCGGCGGACGGGUGAGUAACACGUGGAUAACCUACCUAUAAGACUGGGAUAACUUCGGGAAACCGGAGCUAAUACCGGAUAAUAUUUUGAACCGCAUGGUUCAAAAGUGAAAGACGGUCUUGCUGUCACUUAUAGAUGGAUCCGCGCUGCAUUAGCUAGUUGGUAAGGUAACGGCUUACCAAGGCAACGAUGCAUAGCCGACCUGACAGGGUGAUCGGCCACACUGGAACUGAGACACGGUCCAGACUCCUACGGGAGGCAGCAGUAGGGAAUCUUCCGCAAUGGGCGAAAGCCUGACGGAGCAACGCCGCGUGAGUGAUGAAGGUCUUCGGAUCGUAAAACUCUGUUAUUAGGGAAGAACAUAUGUGUAAGUAACUGUGCACAUCUUGACGGUACCUAAUCAGAAAGCCACGGCUAACUACGUGCCAGCAGCCGCGGUAAUACGUAGGUGGCAAGCGUUAUCCGGAAUUAUUGGGCGUAAAGCGCGCGUAGGCGGUUUUUUAAGUCUGAUGUGAAAGCCCACGGCUCAACCGUGGGGGGUCAUUGGAAACUGGAAAACUUGAGUGCAGAAGAGGAAAGUGGAAUUCCAUGUGUAGCGGUGAAAUGCGCAGAGAUAUGGAGGAACACCAGUGGCGAAGGCGACUUUCUGGUCUGUAACUGACGCUGAUGUGCGAAAGCGUGGGGAUCAAACAGGAUUAGAUACCUGGUAGUCCACGCCGUAAACGAUGAGUGCUAAGUGUUAGGGGGUUUCCGCCCCUUAGUGCUGCAGCUAACGCAUUAAGCACUCCGCCUGGGGAGUACGACCGCAAGGUUG
This 840-nucleotide ribosomal RNA is filed under the name uncultured Staphylococcus sp. RNAcentral's name for it is "bacterial SSU rRNA". It matches the Rfam family "Bacterial small subunit ribosomal RNA", at positions 71 to 896 of the family's 1533-position model. The record is from RNAcentral. Lineage: Bacteria; Bacillati; Bacillota; Bacilli; Caryophanales; Staphylococcaceae.